This is a long non-coding RNA of Erpetoichthys calabaricus (reedfish), 265 nucleotides long. RefSeq lists it as uncharacterized. The record is from RefSeq and is a predicted model, not a curated record. Lineage: Eukaryota; Metazoa; Chordata; Cladistia; Polypteriformes; Polypteridae. The transcript has 2 exons.
UGCCUAAAAUUGUUUUUUAUUCCACCUAGGCUGACCAACUUCUUCACAACAGCACGUUGGCUCCCGUGUUUUCAUCUUGUCAUUCUGUUAAUUACAGUGCAGGCCCCCAAAACGUUACAAAAGCAGUGAUCAGCUGUGGGUUCAAGAAUGACACGUCUCUGCCUCAAUUCAACAAAUACAUCAUCUAUGACUUGCUUCAAAAUAAAACCCAAAACGGCACCAACUUGGGACCGUAUACAAUGGAGCCUAACAGCCUCUAUGUGAA